This 229-nucleotide ribosomal RNA is filed under the name uncultured bacterium. RNAcentral's name for it is "partial 16S ribosomal RNA". It matches the Rfam family "Bacterial small subunit ribosomal RNA", at positions 104 to 334 of the family's 1533-position model. The record is from RNAcentral.
CGGGGUGGAGUAAUGUCUGGGAAACUGCCUGAUGGAGGGGGAUAACUACUGGAACGGUAGCUAAUACCGCAUAACGUCUUCGGACCAAAGUGGGGGACCUUCGGGCCUCACGCCAUCGGAUGUGCCCAGAUGGGAUUAGCUAGUAGGUGGGGUAAUGGCUCACCUAGGCGACGAUCCCUAGCUGGUCUGAGAGGAUGACCAGCCACACUGGAACUGAGACACGGUCCAG